This 211-nucleotide unclassified non-coding RNA is filed under the name plant metagenome. RNAcentral describes it as "partial contains small subunit ribosomal RNA, internal transcribed spacer 1, and 5.8S ribosomal RNA". The record is from RNAcentral.
UUUCCGUAGGUGAACCUGCGGAAGGAUCAUUCAUAAUAAAGUGUUUUAUGGGACUUUUUAAAAAUCCAUAUCCACCUUGUGUGCAAUGUUGGAUCUCGUCAAUCUUGGCGAGAUUUUUAUACAUCAACUCAUUCUUUAACUAAUUUGUCUGAAAAAUAUUAUGAAUACUUAAUUCAAAAUACAACUUUCAACAACGGAUCUCUUGGCUCUC